This 713-nucleotide unclassified non-coding RNA is filed under the name Hevea brasiliensis (rubber tree). The record is from RNAcentral. Lineage: Eukaryota; Viridiplantae; Streptophyta; Magnoliopsida; Malpighiales; Euphorbiaceae.
AAGAGGUAGAAGAAAAGGGGGUGGUGGUGGUAAUGGGAGUGAAGGGAUGAGGAAAUUGCUGUUAGGGUUAGGGUUCUUGGUGCAGGGAUUCAGAUGUUUUCCUUGGAUGGCAGUUAAUUUCUUUCUAAAAGAUGGCCUUAAGGUUGACCCAUCUACUUUACAGAUCCUACAGUGUUCUGCCAAUUUGCCCAUGGUGGCUAAGCCCUUCUAUGGAAUUCUGUCUGAUUCUUUUUACAUUUUUGGACAGCAUCGUGUUCCUUACAUUGCCUUUGGAGCAUUUUUGCAGGCAGUGUCAUGGAUUGCUAUAUUCCUCUCCCCUUCAAAUAUUUCAUUUUUUACGAUUACUCUGUAUCUCUUGCUUGGAAACUUGGGUGCUUCUGUAGUUGAGGUUGCCAACGAUGCCAUGGUUGCAGAGUUGGGGAAACCACCUAGUUCAUCAUCCAAAAAUAGUCCACAUUCUUCAUCAGGCCAGAUCCAGUCAUUUGUUUGGAUUGCCGCUUCUGUCGGUGGAGUUCUUGGUAACCUAGCAGGCGGUAUUGCUAUUGAUCGUUUUUCCCCUCAAGUGAUGUUCCUUAUGUUUGGCAUUCUUUUAAGUAUUCAAUUUCUGGUUACAAUUUUUAUUCAUGAGAGCUCCUUGGACCUUCCCACGAGUUCAUCAGAUCGAGGAAUCAAAACACAACUUUCAGAGCUUAUAGUUGCGCUGCGGAAACCGG